GACGUAGGGCGCGAGCGUUGUCCGGAUUUAUUGGGCGUAAAGAGCUCGUAGGCGGCUUGUUGCGUCGUCCGUGAAAACCUGUGGCUCAACCACAGGCUUGCGGUCGAUACGGGCGGGCUGGAGUUCGGUAGGGGAGACUGGAAUUCCCGGUGUAGCGGUGAAAUGCGCAGAUAUCAGGAGGAACACCGGUGGCGAAGGCGGGUCUCUGGGCCGAUACUGACGCUGAGGAGCGAAAGCGUGGGGAGCGAACAGG
Molecule: ribosomal RNA, 253 nt
Filed under: uncultured bacterium
Lineage: Bacteria
Description: partial 16S ribosomal RNA
Rfam family: Bacterial small subunit ribosomal RNA
Source: RNAcentral